CCGCAACGAGCGCAACCCUUAUCCUUUGUUGCCAGCACGUAAUGGUGGGAACUCAAAGGAGACUGCCGGUGAUAAACCGGAGGAAGGUGGGGAUGACGUCAAGUCAUCAUGGCCCUUACGAGUAGGGCUACACACGUGCUACAAUGGCAGAUACAAAGAGAAGCGACCUCGCGAGAGCAAGCGGAACUCAUAAAGUCUGUCGUAGUCCGGAUUGGAGUCUGCAACUCGACUCCAUGAAGUCGGAAUCGCUAGUAAUCGUAGAUCAGAAUGCUACGGUGAAUACGUUCCCGGGCCUUGUACACACCGCCCGUCACACCAUGGGAGUGGGUUGCAAAAGAAGUAGGUAGCUUAACCUUCGGGAGGGCGCUUACCACUUUGUGAUUCAUGACUGGGGUGAAGUCGUAACAAGGUAACCGUAGGGGAACCUGCGGUUGGAUCACCUCCUUA
Molecule: ribosomal RNA, 447 nt
Filed under: Proteus mirabilis
Lineage: Bacteria; Pseudomonadati; Pseudomonadota; Gammaproteobacteria; Enterobacterales; Morganellaceae
Description: bacterial SSU rRNA
Rfam family: Bacterial small subunit ribosomal RNA
Source: RNAcentral